AGCAGCCGCGGUAAUUCCAGCUCCAAUAGCGUAUAUUAAAGUUGUUGCAGUUAAAAAAGCUCGUAGUUGAAUUUCGGGAUCAAUAUAUUGGUCAUGCUUAGGUAUGUACUGGUAUUAUUGAUUUCUCCCUUCUGAAGAACCAUGAUGUCAUUUAUUUGGUGUCGUGGGGAAUCAGGACUGUUACUUUGAAAAAAUUAGAGUGUUUAAAGCAGGCUUUCGCUUGAAUACAUUAGCAUGGAAUAAUGAAAUAGGACGUUUGAUUCUAUUUUGUUGGUUUCUAGGAUCGACGUAAUGAUUAAUAGGGAUAGUUGGGGGCAUUAGUAUUCAAUUGUCAGAGGUGAAAUUCUUGGAUUUAUUGAAGACUAACUACUGCGAAAGCAUUUGCCAAGGAUGUUUCAUUAAUCAAGAACGAAGUUAGGGGAUCGAAGACGAUCAGAUACCGUCGUAGUCUUAACCAUAAACUAUGCCGACUAGGGAUCGGACGAAGUUAAUUUAUAAUGACGCGUUCGGCGUCCGUUAACCGGG
RNAcentral lists this ribosomal RNA (525 nucleotides) under uncultured Glomus. Its description in RNAcentral is "SSU rRNA". It matches the Rfam family "Eukaryotic small subunit ribosomal RNA", at positions 569 to 1094 of the family's 1831-position model. The record is from RNAcentral. Lineage: Eukaryota; Fungi; Glomeromycota; Glomeromycetes; Glomerales; Glomeraceae.